GAGUUUGAUCCUGGCUCAGGAUGAACGCUGGCGGCGUGCCUAACACAUGCAAGUCGAACGGAGUCGUUUUGGAAAUCUCUUCGGAGAUGGAAUUCUCGACUUAGUGGCGGACGGGUGAGUAACGCGUGAGCAAUCUGCCUUUAAGAGGGGGAUAACAGUCGGAAACGGCUGCUAAUACCGCAUAAAGCAUCAAAUUCGCAUGUUUUUGAUGCCAAAGGAGCAAUCCGCUUUUAGAUGAGCUCGCGUCUGAUUAGCUGGUUGGCGGGGUAACGGCCCACCAAGGCGACGAUCAGUAGCCGGACUGAGAGGUUGAACGGCCACAUUGGGACUGAGACACGGCCCAGACUCCUACGGGAGGCAGCAGUGGGGAAUAUUGCGCAAUGGGGGGAACCCUGACGCAGCAACGCCGCGUGAUUGAAGAAGGCCUUCGGGUUGUAAAGAUCUUUAAUCAGGGACGAAACAAAUGACGGUACCUGAAGAAUAAGCUCCGGCUAACUACGUGCCAGCCGCCGCGGUAAUAC
Molecule: ribosomal RNA, 521 nt
Filed under: uncultured bacterium
Lineage: Bacteria
Description: bacterial SSU rRNA
Rfam family: Bacterial small subunit ribosomal RNA
Source: RNAcentral